RNAcentral lists this microRNA precursor (118 nucleotides) under Glycine max (soybean). RNAcentral's name for it is "miR10186a stem-loop (gma-MIR10186a)". The record is from miRBase by way of RNAcentral. Lineage: Eukaryota; Viridiplantae; Streptophyta; Magnoliopsida; Fabales; Fabaceae.
UUUAGUUCUAAAAUUUAUAUUUUAAUACCUAAAAGGUCUCUAUCAUUCAAAUUCUUUAAUUAACGGAAUUUAACAACAAUAACUUUUUGGGAAUUAAAAUGUAAACUUCAAUUACAUU